GCAAGUCGAACGGUAGCACAGAGAGCUUGCUCUCGGGUGACGAGUGGCGGACGGGUGAGUAAUGUCUGGGAAACUGCCUGAUGGAGGGGGAUAACUACUGGAAACGGUAGCUAAUACCGCAUAACGUCUUCGGACCAAAGUGGGGGACCUUCGGGCCUCAUGCCAUCAGAUGUGCCCAGAUGGGAUUAGCUAGUAGGCGGGGUAAUGGCCCACCUAGGCGACGAUCCCUAGCUGGUCUGAGAGGAUGACCAGCCACACUGGAACUGAGACACGGUCCAGACUCCUACGGGAGGCAGCAGUGGGGAAUAUUGCACAAUGGGCGCAAGCCUGAUGCAGCCAUGCCGCGUGUAUGAAGAAGGCCUUCGGGUUGUAAAGUACUUUCAGCGGGGAGGAAGGUGUUGCGGUUAAUAACCGCAGCAAUUGACGUUACCCGCAGAAGAAGCACCGGCUAACUCCGUGCCAGCAGCCGCGGUAAUACGGAGGGUGCAAGCGUUAAUCGGAAUUACUGGGCGUAAAGCGCACGCAGGCGGUCUGUCAAGUCGGAUGUGAAAUCCCCGGGCUCAACCUGGGAACUGCAUUCGAAACUGGCAGGCUAGAGUCUCGUAGAGGGAGGUAGAAUUCCAGGUGUAGCGGUGAAAUGCGUAGAGAUCUGGAGGAAUACCGGUGGCGAAGGCGGCCUCCUGGACGAAGACUGACGCUCAGGUGCGAAAGCGUGGGGAGC
This 721-nucleotide ribosomal RNA is filed under the name Kosakonia oryzendophytica. RNAcentral describes it as "bacterial SSU rRNA". It matches the Rfam family "Bacterial small subunit ribosomal RNA", at positions 57 to 769 of the family's 1533-position model. The record is from RNAcentral. Lineage: Bacteria; Pseudomonadati; Pseudomonadota; Gammaproteobacteria; Enterobacterales; Enterobacteriaceae.